RNAcentral lists this transfer RNA (72 nucleotides) under Capra hircus (goat). It matches the Rfam family "tRNA". Rfam says of the family: Transfer RNA (tRNA) molecules are approximately 80 nucleotides in length. Their secondary structure includes four short double-helical elements and three loops (D, anti-codon, and T loops). The record is from Rfam by way of RNAcentral. RNAcentral also lists the same sequence under 1 other name. Lineage: Eukaryota; Metazoa; Chordata; Mammalia; Artiodactyla; Bovidae.
UCCCUGGUAGCUCAGACGGUAAAGCGUCUGCCUAUAAUGCAGGAGACCUGGGUUCAAUCCCUGGGUUGGGAA